GAGAUGAUUUCCCUGUGAGUGGGCCGGUCCUGAUAUCAUCCGGAAUUGCCAGAACAGUUGAUCCCCAGGAGCUUGACUUGGUGAAGGUUGGGAACUCAAGACAAUGCCAAUGAACAUUUAGCUCGGAGGAAUUUGGUCUGUGACCACAGAGCAAACAGCAAGACCAGGGACACAAGGUAGAGAAGAGUGAGUGGAAAACAUCUCAUCUGAUCUCUACACGGCCAAUGACUGUCGAAGGGGCGGUGCAAUCAGGUCCCUAACCUGCUGGGCCUGCCGCCAGAGGGUCCCGUCCAGGCUGCUGCAGGAGCAGCCCCAGGAACCAGGCCGGACCUCGAGAAGCCGAGGGAAGGGGAGUCGCGGGCUUCAGGCUUCAGAAAGAAGCGAGGCAGGGGAAAUCCCUUCUGGAAGGAGGGGUGAGGAGGUAGCUCCACGUGCCCGGUGGCUGCUAUCCUCGGUUUUACCACUCUGGAUUGUGAGGUCCUCGCGAGCUGAGCUCCUAGUUACCCCCGGAUAAUGCUCAGCAGGUGUCUGGCCGAGGGUGAGUCUUCAAGAGGGCGGGACAUUAACGCUGUGAUGUGAAGCUCUGCCGGUGUUUUUCUACAGUUCACACAAUCACCAGAAAGCCCGUGUCUUGGCACCAGAACCUGGAGGAACCUGCAGACGAUGGGGCCGGGAGUGGAGACCUCAUACCGUGCCGAUGGAGACAGACAAGUAGCCAGGUUCCUAAAUCUUAUCCACCAGGCCGCUCAGGGGCCACGGAAGAGAUACCCAGACACGCAAACAGAAAGCCCAGAAAUUGGACGGGACUCUGAGGCCUAGGAGUGUGUGCUGAGCCCCUGGGGUGCGCUGGCCCAGGCCCCACGGACUCUGAACCCAGGUUGCCCUCCCUCCCCGGGGGUUGCCUUCUGAUGCCCACCAUCUCCUCUCUGGGUCAGCCCGGAAUGUGACGAGCGCAGGCUGAACCGUGUCAGGGUGCACAGCGACAUUGCGCCCCACAAGGCUAAAGCGUGGAGCUGGCGAGAAGAUGAUCGCCUCGCGUCGUAUUCAGCGCCCACCUCGGUCUCAUCCCUGAAACCCAGCGUGUGGGCUGUGUGGAUAAAUAAAGAUGACUUUCCAGCGUCAGUCUGA
Long non-coding RNA from Canis lupus familiaris (dog), 1128 nucleotides. RefSeq lists it as uncharacterized. NCBI's taxonomy places the organism in Eukaryota, Metazoa, Chordata, Mammalia, Carnivora, Canidae. The record is from RefSeq and is a predicted model, not a curated record. The transcript has 6 exons.